GACCAUUUGUCAGAAUGUGGAGAACACAGCUGAAGGCUGGCAGCUGAUGGACAGCCUAAGGCUCUAGUGUGGGAUUUAACCAAACUUCUGACUCAGGGGUUGAGCUAUGAACAUCUAGGAAAAACAAUGGACUGUAGUGAAAUCUGAGAUCCUAAGGAGUCCGUGCCACCGCCCUCGACGCCGGCACACACCAUGGUGGGCAACACGCGACCUGGGUAGUCCUUGUUGCAAGACGCUUCUGAGAUAAUGCUGAUGUUGGCACAAUGCAACGUAUCAGGGAGUCUCACUGAGGAGGACAGAUGGCUUUUAGUAUAUUCAAUUCCUUUGGUUCUUGUUCCCUCCAUUCAAGAAUCCCUGGGGACAACAUUGCUGGAAUUUCUACAUCCAGCUCCAUCCUUCCACUCACCUUGUGACUUUUGGCUCCCUGUGGCUCCAGGGUUGUUGUCUGAUAACAGACCCCAGCCUGACACCACGCAGUCCUCGCCGAUAAGGGGGCAACGUGUGGGCAGCGCCACAGGACGCACGUAGGCUGUCAGCCGCGCAGGUUGGAAAAGUCGCAACAGCAUGAUGUCAUGGCGGUGGGUGCGAGCCUCGUAGCCCGGAUGUGGGAUGAUGCGAGAGACAGAGCGCAGUUGCUCUGGGCCAUCGAACUUGCGGAGAUUGUGCUCGCCCAGACGCACUCUCAUGAAGCUGUGUGAUCGAGUAGGAGGAGACAAAGUGGUCAGAGAGGAUAACCUGGGGUCUUCGGAGAACUUUCUCCUUUUCUCGAGUCCUUGAAGCCAGUGGUUCCAACCGUGACCUCUCCAGAGCCCAGGAGUUGCAGGGUGUGAUGGUUCAUGCCUUUAACCCCAACACUUGGGAGGCAGAGGCAGGUGGACUUCUCUAAGUUGUGGACCAGCCUGGUCUACACAGUGAGUUCUAGAGUAAACUGGGUUACACAGUGAGUCUCAAAACAAACAAAAAACAAACUAACAAACU
This 978-nucleotide long non-coding RNA is filed under the name Mus pahari (shrew mouse). Its description in RNAcentral is "lncRNA (MGP_PahariEiJ_G0002158.1)". Lineage: Eukaryota; Metazoa; Chordata; Mammalia; Rodentia; Muridae. The record is from RNAcentral.